UGAAGAGGCGCGCGAGCAGCGUGCUCGGUAGCCCAAGCAAAACGCAGUAGUCUCGUGCGCGGUGCAUCAAAACGAAUGGCGUUGGACAAGAGCCGCAUUUCGAUUCUCAGCUCCACCAAGGUGGAUGGCGAGAAGCUCAGCAGGGUAGGGGACACAAUGGAUUCCUUGAUCCCCGCUAGUCGUCGGCUGGAGCUGAAGAAGGAGAAGCGCUGCCCUCUCUGCUGUGUCGCGUACGGUGUCCUCAUAUCCAGCGUCGCCGUCUUCUGCAUCACGGCAUGCGGCACCGCGGUAUCCAUCUUUGCGGAAUCGCGCAUCAACUACACGGUGAAUGGUGCGAUGCGGCAGACUGCAUGGAUCGCUUUCCCUGGUAUUCUGGCGGGUGCGACGCUGCACUACUUCAUGGCGGAGGCCAUGUGGAGCAGCAAGCAUAACUCUUGGGGUCAAGCAUGGACGAAGGCGAUUAUUGCGAACGUGGGGUUGUGGACCGGGGCAAUCUGCAUCGGCACUCUGGGAUGGCGAAAGGGGCUGCCACUCAUUUCGGCAGGCCGUCGCCUCUAUCACCGCUACCCGAUCCCCUCUGAACCGCUGGAGGCACGAUUGCUGCGCUCCAGUCGUGAGUUCUUUACCGGAAUGGGCACCACGUACUGGCUAAGCGGGGUGGCAAGCGGUCACUUAGGCUUUGUUACGUGUGUUUCGUUUUGCGUGUCGGCGAAUCGGCCGUACUUCAUGAUGGCACCUCAUGGCGGAUAUGCGUACCGGUGUAUGCCGCCGUGGCGACGACAGCAGCUCCAGGCAAUGGCACUGGGCAGUGACUCGGCAGACCAGCCUACCAAGCCGCCGCCGCAGGAACAAACACGCAAGCAGCCGCCCAUCAAGUGAUUUAAGUCAUCUUUGGCGUGUUCCUCCUGCUCAAGCGCCCGAUCGAGGCGAAGGUGCACGUGCUUAUCGUGGAUGGACUUCAGCAAGCCUGUCAUGUGCGGGGUGCUCGUCUUUGUGUCUCACCGCAUGUGCAUGGGCGGCCUGGUGUGUGUACGCGUAUGUGCGUGUGCGCGUGCUCUUCUGGGAGGUAGGUCGGAAGCGUUCUUGCGACUCCGUACUCUGGGUUUGCUCAGAAGACUCUGUAAGUAGAGGUCAUAGUGAAACGGACCUGCAGGCAUCACUCGUAGAGGCAACUUGCUGGCGCGAUAUACCGAUGAAGUCGUUCCUCCCUCCCUCGCUGCUGCUCUUAUAUAUACUUCGUUCAAGCAAAGAGCGCAGAUUUCCUGUAGACCUGCGUGGUUACGUGUCUUAUCGCAUGCCACGUUGUUCACCCUGUAGCGCAUUUACUGAUACUUCACUCAUUCACCGCGCGAACCCCCUCCCUCCUGUCUCUGUUGUCCGUACACCUCUUCGCUUGUCCUCGGGUCUCCGCCGCAUGCCCAACAG
Molecule: unclassified non-coding RNA, 1425 nt
Filed under: Leishmania donovani
Lineage: Eukaryota; Euglenozoa; Kinetoplastea; Trypanosomatida; Trypanosomatidae
Description: gene:LdHU3.35.3440(CDS-product:hypothetical_prote in_conserved)
Source: RNAcentral